Molecule: ribosomal RNA, 460 nt
Filed under: uncultured bacterium
Lineage: Bacteria
Description: partial 16S ribosomal RNA
Rfam family: Bacterial small subunit ribosomal RNA
Source: RNAcentral
CCUACGGGCGGCAGCAGUGAGGAAUAUUGGUCAAUGGACGAGAGUCUGAACCAGCCAAGUAGCGUGAAGGAUGACUGCCCUAUGGGUUGUAAACUUCUUUUAUAAAGGAAUAAAACGAGGCACGUGUGCCUUUUUGCAUGUACUUUAUGAAUAAGGAUCGGCUAACUCAGUGCCAGCAGCCGCGGUAAUACGGAGGAGCCGAGUGUUAUCCGGAUUUAUUGGGUUUAAAGGGAGCGUAGAUGGGUUGUUAAGUCAGUUGGGAAAGUUUGCGGCUCAACCGUAAAAUUGCAAUUGAUACUGGCAGUCUUGAGUACAGUUGAGGUAGGCGGAAUUCGUGGUGUAGCGGUGAAAUGCUUAGAUAUCACGAAGAACCCCGAUUGCGAAGGCAGCUUACUAAACUGUGACUGACAUUGAUGCUCGAAAGUGUGGGUAUCAAACAGGAUUAGAUACCCUGGUAGUC